AUUAAUGAAUUCGCACACUGGCGUUACCACUCAACACACCGACGAAGCAAGACGAUAGACAACAAUUAGCUAAAUCUACAUUAUUGGACAUGAUGGCUAAGUAAAAAACAUCACACCAGAAUCAAGGGGGAGUUCCCGUGCACAUGCUGUCUUGCCUGCCACCAUGUAAGACCUGCUUUUGCUCUUCCUUCAUCUGCCAUGAUUGUGAGGCCUCCCCAGCCAUGUGGAACUGUGAGUCCAUUAAACUUCUUUCCUUUAUAAAUUACACAGUCUCAUGUAUGUCUUUAUUGGCAGCAUGAGAACAGACUAAUGCAGUAAAUUGGUAUUGGUAGAGUAAUGUGCUGCUGUAAAGAUACCCAAAAAUGUGGAAGUGACUUUGGAACUGGGUAACAGGCAGAGGUUGGAACAGUUUGGAGGGCUUAGAAGAAAAUAGGAAAAAUGGGAAAGUUUGUAACUUCCUAGAGACUUGUUGAAUGGCUUUGACCAAAAUGCUGAUAGUGAUAUAGACAAUAAGGUCCAGGCUGAGGUGGUCUCAGAUGGAGACAAGGAACUUGUUGGGAACUGGAGUAAAGAUCACUCUUGCUAUGCAAAGAGAUUGGUGGCAUUUUCCCCUGCCCUAGAGAUCUAUGAAACUUUGAACUUGAGAGAGAUGAUUUAGGGUAUCUGGUGAAAAAUUUGUAAGUGGCAAAGUGUUCAAGAGGAAGCAAAGCAAAAAAGUCUGAAAAAUUUGCAGCCUGAUGAUGCAGUAGAAAAGAAAAACCCAUUUUCUGGGAAGAAAUUCAAGCUGGCUGCAGAAAUUUGCAUAAGUAACGAGGUGCCAAAUGCAAAUCGCCAAGAGAAUGGGGAAAACGUCUCCAGGGCAUGUCAGAGACCUUCACAGCAGCCACUCCCAUCACAGGCCUGGAGGCCUAGGAGGGAAAAACGGUUUCCUGGAGUGGUCCAGGGCCCCCAUACUUUAUGCAGCCUAGGGACUUGGUACCCUGUGUCCCAGUCACUCCAGUCAUGGCUAAAAGGGGCCAAUGUAUAGCUCAAGCUGUGGCUUCAGAGGGUGCAAGCCCCAAGACUUGGCAGCUUUGACAUGGUGUUGGUCCUGUGGGUACACAGAAGUCAAGAAUUGAGGUUUGGGAACCUCCACCUAGAUUUCAGUGGGUGUAUGGAAACGCCUAGAUGUCCAGGCAGAAGCCUGCUGCCCUCUGCUAGGGCAGUGCCAAAAAGAAAUGUGGGGUUGGAGCCCCCACACAGAGUCCCCACUGGGGCACUGCCUAUUGGAGCUGUGAGGGGGGGACCACUGUCUUUCAGACCCCAGAAUGGUAGAUCCACCCACAGCUUGCACCGUGCACCUGGAAAAGCCACAGACACUCAAUGCCAGCCUGUGAAAGCAGCCAGGAGGGAGGCUGUAUCCAGCAAAGCCACAGGAGUGGAGCUGCCUAAGGCUGUGGGAGCCCGCCUCUUGCAUUAGCAUGACCUGGAUGUGAGACAUGGAGUCAAAGGAGAUCAUUUCAGAGCUUUAAGAUUUUGCUGCCUCACUGGAUUUUGGGCUUGCAUGCGGCCUGUAGCCCCUUUGUUUUGGCCCAUUUCUCCCAUUUGGAAUGGGUGUAUUUACCCAAUGCCUGUACCCCCAUUGUCUCUAGGAAGUAACUAACUUGCUUUUGAUUUUACAGGCUCAUAGGCAGAAGGGACUUGACUUGUCUCAGCUCACACUUUGGACUGUGGAAUUUUGAACUAAUGCUGAACUGAGUUGGGGGACCAUUGGGAAGGCAUGAUUGGUUUUGAAAUGUGAGGACAUGAGAUUUGGGAAGGGCCAGGGUUGGAAUGAUAUGGUUUGGCUCUGUGUCCACACCCAAAUCUCACCUUGAAUUGUAAUAAUCCCCACGUCAUGGGAGGGACCCAGUGGCAGGUAAUUGAAUCAUGGGGAUGGGUUUUUCUUACGCUGUUCUCGCGAUAGUGAAUAAGUCUCAUGAGAUCUGAUGGUUUUAUAAAGGGGAGUUCCUUUGCACAUGCUCUCUUGCCUGCUGCCAUGUAAGACAUGACUUUACGCUUCCUUUGUCUUCCACUAUGAUUGUGAGGCCUCCCCAGCCAUGUGGAACUGUGAGUCCAUUAAACCUCUUUCCUUUAUAAAUUGCCCAGUCUUGGGUAUGUCUUUAUUAGUAGCAGAGUUCAGACUAAUACACUCAUUGUCAGUGAGCAGAACAUAACUUUUCCUUAGCGGUAAAUGUUUUUUCUACAUUUAUUUCUAUAAGUGCUUUUUCAUGUGGCCCUUCAAAUGAAGGCACAGAGAGAUAGGACAGAUAAGAUCCUCAACAACAUCUUUAGAGUAAAUGCAGUACUGGUCUCAUAGGACUAUUUUAAAAAACAUUUUUCAGUGAAAGCUAACAAAUAAAUAAGUCACAGUAUACAAGGUUCUAGAGAAUUUGUAUGUGUUGGAGUGAGAAAGUUUUAGUGACCCAUUCUGAGGAUGGGCCAGAAAACAGAAGGGCUAGGAUUAGUAAUCUUCUUGGAGUACCUCAGAAUACUAAAUGAUCAUGAACUAUCUUUCAAUUUUCUAGAAAAUUUGAUGUGUUUUCUUUUCUGACAGGAGCUAGGCAACAUUACACCAUAAACCUUUUACUCUUUACACAUUUGUCAUGCAUUUACCCUGCUAUGUGGAAAACAGGAGCCCUAUGAAUUUGCUUGUUAUAGAAUCCAGUAUCCAAAUGUUGCUUUCACAUUCAGUCCUAGGGUCUGUGUCUAUUUUUCUUUACAGCUUACUUAGUAAUGUUGACAUACCACAUGUUGGUUCAAAUAUAUUUUUCUUAAUUAUUAAUAUUAGCAACUAUAUUUGCACUGAAAAUAGAAAGCUGCUUUUAGGCUUAGGAGGAUGCUAAAUCCCCAGUGCAUAAUUUUCUAUCCUGUCCCAUAAAAUUGUGUUCUUUACCUUUUAGGCACUGAAUUCUGUGGGUUCUAUUGUAAGCAGCACAGCCCUCCCUUUCCACCACAAUUCAGACAAUUAAGAAUUGACCAGAUGACAAAAUUAAAAAACCCAGAUCUAAAAUAAGCUUUGGAGACCUAGAUUUAAUAAGUAUAGUAAAUUUGGCUAUAAUGCUAGUGAUAAAGCAAUGUUCAAAAUGACUAUGUCCUAUAAAUAUGUGACUAUGCAGCUUAGACCAAAUGUUGUGAGUCAUAAAUCAACUUACAAUUGGUAUCCCAUCCAAAGCUUUCAGUUCUGGAAGAUGAAAUAUUACAAACAACCGGUAGUUUUCUUGAUUCCAUAUAAUGAUGUUCCCACACAUGUCUAGAAUGACCAAGUUGCAUAAACCCUAGGUAAUAAAAUACAUAUAUUCAUCUAUAUGUAUAUUUAAAGCACUCUAGUAAGAGGUUAGCCAUCCUCAAAUUUUAAUAUUGGAAUUAUCUAUCAUUCCAUGGGAUUUCAGUGCCUUUAAGUAUACUUUUUUUUUUUUUUUUUUUUUUAAAGACAUGGUCUCGUGCUGUUGCUCAGGCUGGAGUGCAGUGGUCUGAUCAUAGCUCAUUGCAGCCUCAAACUCCUAGGCUCAAGUGAUUCUCCCACCAUGGCCUCCCAAAGUGCUGAAAUUAUAGACAUAAGCCACCACGCCCAGCCUCAGUGCACUUUUAAGUGCAAGGGUUACCCUUUCAGACCACUUAGGUAUAUUUUGUGCAGUAUUUCAAUGGUCUAUGUUAUAUAAUCAGAAUCCCUUUUAGGAUACUAGUGCCAAAUGUAUUAUCUAUUAAUGGUAAGGGCUUAGAGGGAACUUCACUAUGUUUAAGACAAAUAUACUUUGUUUAUGGAAUAAUGGCUUAAUAAAUGGAUGUAUGUGUCUAUAUAGAUAUAACAGGAAUAAAAGACACUGCUAUUUGAAAAGUGA
Long non-coding RNA from Homo sapiens (human), 3860 nucleotides. RefSeq annotates it as PCNX4 divergent transcript. The transcript is spliced from 3 exons. The record is from RefSeq and is a predicted model, not a curated record. Lineage: Eukaryota; Metazoa; Chordata; Mammalia; Primates; Hominidae.